AUGGGGAUGGUGCGGGCGGCGUGGUUUCUGCUCCUGUUGGCGUUGCUCGCGGCGGCGGACGCAAGGAGGCAGAAGGGCGGCGAGACGGCCUGCGACAAGGGGUGGGAGUGCAGCGGCAGCAGGUUCUGCUGCAACGAGACCAUCACCGACUACUUCAAGGCCUACCAGUUCGAGGAGCUCUUCGCCAAGCGCAACAACUCCCUCGCCCACGCCGCCGGCUUCUGGGACUACAAGGCCUUCAUCACCGCCGCGGCCCUCUACGAGCCUCGUGGGUUCGGCACCACCGGCGGCAGGGAGAUGAGCAUGAAGGAGGUCGCCGCCUUCCUCGGCCACGUCAGCGCCAAGACCUCGUGUGGAUAUAGUCUAGCUGACGGUGGUUCAUUGGCUUGGGGUCUUUGCUACAACCAUGAAAUGAGCCCAAGCCAGAGCUACUGUGACGACAGCAACGAAUUAUACCGUUGUGCUGAAGGAGUUGAGUACUAUGGUCGAGGCGCCCUUCCUGUUUACUGGAACUACAACUAUGGUAUCGUGGGUAAGGGUAUCAAGCAGGAUCUGUUGAACCACCCAGAGUUAUUGGAACAAAAUGCCACUCUAGCAUUUGAAGCAGCGAUCUGGAGGUGGAUGACUCCAAUGAAGAGGAAGCAGCCAUCAGCCCAUGAUGCCUUUGUUGGCAACUGGAAACCAACCAAGAAAGACACUUUGUCCAAGAGGUAUCCUGGCUUCGGUGCGACAAUGAACAUUUUGUAUGGUGAUGCCAUCUGUGGUAAAGGGUCCAUUGAUAAUAUGAAUGGCAUUAUAUCCCACUAUCAACAUUAUCUUGAUUUGAUGGGAGUUGGUGCUCAGCACUCUGGAGAUAACUUGGAUUGUGCCGACCAAGUGCCAUUCAAUCCAUCAUCAAAGAGUCCCGACUCAUAA
RNAcentral lists this ribosomal RNA (915 nucleotides) under Triticum aestivum (bread wheat). RNAcentral describes it as "partial small subunit ribosomal RNA". Lineage: Eukaryota; Viridiplantae; Streptophyta; Magnoliopsida; Poales; Poaceae. The record is from RNAcentral.